AUUGAACGCUGGCGGCAGGCCUAACACAUGCAAGUCGAGCGGAUGAAGGGAGCUUGCUCCUGGAUUCAGCGGCGGACGGGUGAGUAACGCCUAGGAAUCUGCCUGGUAGUGGGGGAUAACGUCCGGAAACGGGCGCUAAUACCGCAUACGUCCUGAGGGAGAAAGUGGGGGAUCUUCGGACCUCACGCUAUCAGAUGAGCCUAGGUCGGAUUAGCUAGUUGGUGGGGUAAAGGCCUACCAAGGCGACGAUCCGUAACUGGUCUGAGAGGAUGAUCAGUCACACUGGAACUGAGACACGGUCCAGACUCCUACGGGAGGCAGCAGUGGGGAAUAUUGGACAAUGGGCGAAAGCCUGAUCCAGCCAUGCCGCGUGUGUGAAGAAGGUCUUCGGAUUGUAAAGCACUUUAAGUUGGGAGGAAGGGCAGUAAGUUAAUACCUUGCUGUUUUGACGUUACCAACAGAAUAAGCACCGGCUAACUUCG
RNAcentral lists this ribosomal RNA (482 nucleotides) under uncultured bacterium. RNAcentral's name for it is "partial 16S ribosomal RNA". It matches the Rfam family "Bacterial small subunit ribosomal RNA", at positions 30 to 505 of the family's 1533-position model. The record is from RNAcentral.